RNAcentral lists this ribosomal RNA (496 nucleotides) under uncultured bacterium. Its description in RNAcentral is "partial 16S ribosomal RNA". It matches the Rfam family "Bacterial small subunit ribosomal RNA", at positions 29 to 507 of the family's 1533-position model. The record is from RNAcentral.
AUGAACGCUGGCGGCGUGCCUGAUACAUGCAAGUCGAGCGAACGGACGAGAAGCUUGCUUCUCUGAUGUUAGCGGCGGACGGGUGAGUAACACGUGGAUAACCUACCUAUAAGACUGGGAUAACUUCGGGAAACCGGAGCUAAUACCGGAUAAUAUUUUGAACCGCAUGGUUCAAAAGUGAAAGACGGUCUUGCUGUCACUUAUAGAUGGAUCCGCGCUGCAUUAGCUAGUUGGUAAGGUAACGGCUUACCAAGGCAACGAUGCAUAGCCGACCUGAGAGGGUGAUCGGCCACACUGGAACUGAGACACGGUCCAGACUCCUACGGGAGGCAGCAGUAGGGAAUCUUCCGCAAUGGGCGAAAGCCUGACGGAGCAACGCCGCGUGAGUGAUGAAGGUCUUCGGAUCGUAAAACUCUGUUAUUAGGGAAGAACAUAUGUGUAAGUAACUGUGCACAUCUUGACGGUACCUAAUCAGAAAGCCACGGCUAACUACGUG